UACAGAGGGGGCAAGCGUUGUUCGGAAUUACUGGGCGUAAAGGGCGCGUAGGCGGCCUUCUAAGUCGAACGUGAAAUCCCCGGGCUCAACCCGGGAACUGCGUCCGAUACUGGAAGGCUUGAAUCCGGGAGAGGGAUGCGGAAUUCCAGGUGUAGCGGUGAAAUGCGUAGAUAUCAGGAGGAACACCAAUGGCGAAAGCAGCUCGCUGGGACGGUACUGACGCUGAGACGCGAAAGCGUGGGGAGCAAACAGG
This 253-nucleotide ribosomal RNA is filed under the name uncultured bacterium. RNAcentral's name for it is "partial 16S ribosomal RNA". It matches the Rfam family "Bacterial small subunit ribosomal RNA", at positions 524 to 776 of the family's 1533-position model. The record is from RNAcentral.